Scophthalmus maximus (turbot) is the source of this 1418-nucleotide long non-coding RNA. RefSeq lists it as uncharacterized. The record is from RefSeq and is a predicted model, not a curated record. The transcript is spliced from 2 exons. NCBI's taxonomy places the organism in Eukaryota, Metazoa, Chordata, Actinopteri, Pleuronectiformes, Scophthalmidae.
AUUCCUCCGGGAGGCUCCCGCCGGGCCGCUGCGAGGGCCCGAGGUGAACCGAGAACCGCCGGCGUCGAGUCGGAUCUCACAGGAUUGUGCUUCGGCGACCACGCAUCUCUCCGCACCACGGCGUGUCUGAGUGGAACCACCUGUGCAUCCUCAUCUCCUGCAGCGACUGUACACCGGCGAAAAACCUCAGUUUGAAUUUUGGGACAAGGCUUCCAAAAUUACAAAACAUGUCCAGCCGAACUACUGCGGAAUCCUUUGAGAAUAGUGUCGGCCCACAAGACAUGUUCUCAUGUGCCAGAUAUAAGGUCAUUGGAUAUUAGAAUACGAAAACAAUCCCAUGAAGCAGCUGCUUUUUCCAGUGUCGAGACUGAACUUUGAACCUCACUGAGAGAAGUUGGUCAACUGACAGAGCGUGACUUCAUGUAACUUUGCAAGAAGUUGAAAUAUUUGUGGUAGUUAUCAGGAGUUGGAAGUUUUAAACUUCUGACCUCUGCUUCUGACUCCAUGAGUGCAGACUUCUCAACUACCAGAGCCAAACUAGACAAUACACAAGAGUGACCCCAAAUGACCCCAUCCAGCUUAGACUGGUUUAGAUUCGACUUUAAUUCUACAGUCCCCCCCCCUCCCGAGGAUCAAUAAAGGGCGAUUAUUUAAAUUGAAAGCUUGAGGCAGUAGUUCAGACUCUCAUGCACGCUGCCAUUCAAGCUAGUGUUUUCAGGAAAAGACCAUAUUGUGUUAUCUCUUCUGGGGGCGUGGCCUGGAGUCAGACGUUUCAAACCACAGAUCAGUCAACAGUAUGUCUCUGCCCUGUGUGAGUCACUGUUAAGAGCCAGAUCUCCCAAGACGUAUUCAGACACGACAUAUGGGGAGUAAACAAGCUGGUUUUUUUUGGAAAAAACAAAAAGAAAGCAUUAAGCUCUUUUUUUCCCCCGCCAUCCGUGUGAUCUCAAAUUGCUCAGUCAGGUUUUGUAGGGAACUGUCCAGCCUGAGAUUGUUACCAAAGCUUUUUCUGUUUUUACACAGACCUGCAAUGUGAACGUGACAAUACAAAUGCAAGAUGUAUUCAAAACACAGUACCUGGUGAUGGAAAGGUUUUCAUCAAUGAUCUCUUCUUGAUGGCUGUAUAUGCUCAUGAACACAACACGACUGCAUGUGCAAUCCUUGGAUUAAGAAAAAAUGAGAGGAAUUAAACUAUCAAAAAGAUUUAUUAUUGAUUAAAACUAUGUAGCGCUCAUGUACACCACACAGUGGCAGCAUUUUAUCAACAACUGGAUGAACAUUAGCUCCUGACUGUAAAGAAACAUCAGUUAUUCUCAACGUCAGAUUAAUUUGUUUUCAUAUUCAAUGUUAACUUCAUUGAACGCAUUGUAAAUCACAGGGGAACUCAUUUUCAGUAUUAUAAUAAAUAAAUAAUAUGC